UACGGAGGGUGCAAACGUUGCUCGGAAUCAUUGGGCGUAAAGCGCACGUAGGCGGUCCGGUAAGUCGGAUGUGAAAGCCCUCGGCUCAACCGAGGAAGUGCAUUCGAAACUGCCGGACUUGAGUACGGGAGAGGGAUGCGGAAUUCCCGGUGUAGAAGUGAAAUUCGUAGAUAUCGGGAGGAACACCAGUGGCGAAGGCGGCAUCCUGGACCGAUACUGACGCUGAGGUGCGAAAGCGUGGGGAGCAAACAGG
Molecule: ribosomal RNA, 253 nt
Filed under: uncultured bacterium
Lineage: Bacteria
Description: partial 16S ribosomal RNA
Rfam family: Bacterial small subunit ribosomal RNA
Source: RNAcentral